UUAUUUUUGUUUUUCUUGGGAUCUGACUUUUGGGAGGCUUUAAGUGAUUAUGAUUGCACUUCCCUCCACCUGGAAACCACCUCUUCCUUCUCUGAUCUCACCUUGGCUUAGCUCUCCAACACAAGACUCUGUGGUGUCUGCCCAUGCCCACUACUCUCACUGUUGAGAAUAGUAUUCAAUAUCUGUUUAACAUAUAUAACUACUUUUAACAAACACUGAAUACUCCUUUUUACUAAAGGUGUAAAGACUGUCAAGCUUUGGAUUUUCUCUGUUAAUAAUCAAAGUUUAUAGAAAUUUUAAUACUUACCUAGAUAUUCUGCAAGGUGAUCAAAUUCUGGUUUAUUGGCAAUGAGCUCUUCUUUUGUAGGAAUGUUUAUUCCCAUGAAGCAUGGAUAUUUAAUUGGUGGUGAAGCUACUCGAAUGUGUACCUUGGAAAGAAAUCAUUGCACACAAGGUUUUUAAGACUAUGCAAAAUUCUUUCAUUGUGCAAAUACAAUACAAAAUUGUUUUGCAGAAUAUUCAGUAACAACAUAUGGGUAAUAAAUUAUUCUUUCUACAAA
This is a long non-coding RNA of Homo sapiens (human), 560 nucleotides long. NCBI's taxonomy places the organism in Eukaryota, Metazoa, Chordata, Mammalia, Primates, Hominidae. The record is from Ensembl.